UAGGGAAUCUUCCGCAAUGGACGCAAGUCUGACGGAGCAACGCCGCGUGAGUGAAGAAGGAUUUCGGUUCGUAAAACUCUGUUGUUAGAGAAGAACAGCGCAUAGAGUAACUGUUAUGCGUGUGACGGUAUCUAACCAGAAAGCCACGGCUAACUACGUGCCAGCAGCCGCGGUAAUACGUAGGUGGCAAGCGUUGUCCGGAUUUAUUGGGCGUAAAGCGAGCGCAGGCGGUCAAUUAAGUCUGAUGUGAAAGCCCCCGGCUCAACCGGGGAGGGUAAUUAGGAACUGGUUGACUUGAGUGCAGAAGAGGAGAGUGGAAUUCCAUGUGUAGCGGUGAAAUGCGUAGAUAUAUGGAGGAACACCAGUGGCGAAGGCGACUCUCUGGUCUGUAACUGACGCUGAGGCUCGAAAGCGUGGGUAGCAAACAGG
RNAcentral lists this ribosomal RNA (429 nucleotides) under Bacteroidota bacterium. Its description in RNAcentral is "Bacteroidetes bacterium partial 16S ribosomal RNA". It matches the Rfam family "Bacterial small subunit ribosomal RNA", at positions 355 to 776 of the family's 1533-position model. Lineage: Bacteria; Pseudomonadati; Bacteroidota. The record is from RNAcentral.